This 464-nucleotide ribosomal RNA is filed under the name uncultured Chloroflexota bacterium. Its description in RNAcentral is "bacterial SSU rRNA". It matches the Rfam family "Bacterial small subunit ribosomal RNA", at positions 906 to 1382 of the family's 1533-position model. The record is from RNAcentral. Lineage: Bacteria; Bacillati; Chloroflexota.
GGAAUUGACGGGGGCCCGCACAAGCAGCGGAGCGUGUGGUUUAAUUCGAUGCAACACGAAGAACCUCACCAAGGCUUGACAUACAAGAAGUAGUGAACCGAAGGGGAACGACCUGUUAAGUCAGGAGCUUGAACAGGUGCUGCAUGGUUGUCGUCAGCUCGUGCCGUGAGGUGUUGGGUUAAGUCCCGCAACGAGCGCAACCCUCGUUGCCAGUUGUUUUCUCUGGCGAGACUGCCCCGCAAGACGGGGAGGAAGGUGGGGAUGACGUCAAAUCAGCACGGCCCUUAUGCCUUGGGCUACACACACGCUACAAUGGGCGGUACAAUGGGUUACAAUGGGGUGACUCGGAGUUAAUCCUAAAAAUCGCCCUCAGUUCAGAUUGCAGGCUGAAACCCGCCUGCAUGAAGUCGGAGUUGCUAGUAACCGCGUAUCAGCAUGGCGCGGUGAAUACGUUCUCGGGCCUU